Molecule: non-coding RNA, 3650 nt
Organism: Misgurnus anguillicaudatus (oriental weatherfish)
Lineage: Eukaryota; Metazoa; Chordata; Actinopteri; Cypriniformes; Cobitidae
Source: RefSeq, a predicted model, not a curated record
AACAGAGCGAGGCCAGAGACAAACGUGCUCAUAAACGGGAGUAAUAUGGAAUAAUGUGUGCAUCUUUGAAUAACUAAUCCUCUCUGCCUCCGUUGCUAUGGAAUCUGAGCCAGUCCUCUUUGCUAUUGGGUGAUUUCUUCUUCGGUACUCGUAAUUGACAGGGAUUCUCUCAUACGCGAAAAUCAUUGUCCAGGUAAGUGAUGCUUUCGUUUAAAGUUCACUAUUUGUUUAAAUGUUAUAAUUCACACCUUUCUUUUGGCAUUACGCUGACAUUGCCAUACCCGUACGAAAAUUAACCAUGUUUUUGUGGUAAAAGUGUAGUAACUACGGUUUGUGUAUCGAUUAUUUGCAAAAUGGUUUUACUAAACCAAACAUGGUUUAACUUUUUUUUUCAAAUUCAUGGUUCUUUCUUAACUUGGAACCUAUCUCUAUAUACUGCAUCUGUUGUACCUGUCUGUCCAGCUGUGUGUUUGUCUUUCUGUCUUUGUCUGCUUUGCAAUGGCCACCAGAUAUACCCCUCACAAACAGGAUCCCCACUACCAAGAGGGGAGGCUCAUGGCUCUUGAGCUGAACCAUGACCACAUUCUAGCUGAAGCCAAGAGCAGCUGUGGAGACGAAAUGUUUAUGCCCUAGAAGAGACCCUUCACAGACCUCUAAAAGGAUCUUUGUUGGCUGGGGCAAGCCGAGGGGGAGGCAAGGAGGGUGACGCCAAGCCUCAACUACAGGUCACUUUUACAGGUUGAGUGCUUCCUGUCAUCCAGUGUGGAGUUUCCACUUAACUGUACCCUCAGCAAAACUAAAUCCUCAUGAGGAAUUUGGUGCAGAGAGUGGUUCUGUGGGGACCGUGAUGUAUUACGUCACAAAAAACAGCCACUCCACAAUAGGGAAUGUGUAAUUAAUAGUUUUUUUGUAGCCAUCCGUCCAACCAAAUGCAUCAUUAAAGGGGAAGAUGGAUAUUGCACUCAACACAAGGGCGUUUUGACUUGCCUCAGCCACUGUAUGUCUGUUAAACAUGCAAACAGCAAAGGACCCCAGACCUGAAAGACCUUCUGAGGAGUGGAUAUUGGCCAGCUUCAAUAAACAACACCACACUUUACACACUGGACCUCCUGAUCUCCUUUCAAGAACUCAAGGUCAUCUCUCCAAGAUUUUCCAGACAAGCCUUCGCAAAGCUGCUGGAGCAUCGCACGAAGUGUGGAGGAAGAUUUGGAUAUAUCAACGGCGAUGCACUGCAAUGCAGCUUCUUGGAGUUUUCAUACGCUUCAUUUGAAUCAGACCAGCUCUGGUGUGGUGCUCCUUUCACCUGCCCAGCCUGAACGCUAGAAUUGUUGGCUGCUUCAGCAGAUCGAAACAGAAAGCUAUAUCGCUUUUGCCGAAACAGAAGGUGGUCUUUAUUCCAGUAUUUUUAUUGGUUUAUUUAUUUACUUUAAUUGAUGGAUUUCCUAUUUUUCUUUCUUAGCUCUGGUGUUCCUGUUUUUUGUUUUCUUUUUUGAGGGGCCUUUUGUGGCUGAAGACAGUGCGGUGUCUAGAUUUGUCAACACCAUACAAAAAGCACUGAAAAUUGACAAAAUAGUUGUUACACAAAAAAAUCUUGUUCGGAGUUGAUUUCUACUUUUGCCUACCAAGUACUCCUAAAUCAAAUUAGGAAUAAAUGCCAUAUACUGUAUUGUAUGACACCAUCACUUUAAUUUGAUUUGUUGUGUUUGUUGUGUGUUUCAUAGACUGUGGCUUGCAAAUAUUGGCCAUACUUGAAGAAAGUUGCUAGUGUCCUUCCUGAUCUUCAGGAGCUGACCUCAAUGAAACCUUUCCUUAAUGUCAUGCAUGCUUGAGCCACGCUACAACGUGUGAAAUUAAAUGAAGUGGUAGGAACCAGGAAGGAACAGGGACAACCACCGGUGAGUGGAGCAAGUGAACAGCUACCUUUCACGUUGUGCCCGUACAACCAAAUAUAUGUCCAAAGCAGCACCGGUGGACAUGCUUACAUUGCAUGCAAUGGGCUGGAACCAUAAAAAAGUAUCUCUCUACAUCAGGCACUUUCCACAAUAUAUGUGAAAACAUCCAGCACGAGACUGCAAGGCUAGCAGAACUAAAAACAAAGCUACAUUGCAAAGAUGAAGUGCCGUCACAAUGGCUUUCUGAUGUGAAAGAAUGGGCAGCUGGUGCAGCAUGCUUCGCCACCGCCUUCGAAGUAAGCUGGCAGAGGACAAAAAGCUCCUUCUUCAGGAGAUACAGAACUACAAUGAUCUUGUACUAGACUCUGCCACAAACAUCAUUGACCUAGCUUUGGUGGAGCAUUCCCUCACUGGAGAGAGCAGUGUGUCUCAGAUAUGGCCGUGCGACCUUAAUGGCAGUGCAAACAUUUCAGUCAAGAAACGAUUGCAUGACCAAGUGAUGUUGACAAUGUGACUGCAAGAGGAAAGGGGCAUUGUGGUGUUGGAGAUGGCACAAGACUACACAUGUGUGCAGAGCCUGGCAGUGGCUCUCAAGAACAAGAUGGCUGAGGAGGACAAGGGAAAUGAAGGACUUUGCUGUCUCUUAAGAAGAAGAUCGUCAGUGGUGUCAGAAGGGUUGCAAGUCGUCCUUCAACAAUACAAGACUGCAUUAGGUCUUGAGGUCUCUGUCCUUCUACAUGUUGAAGAAGAAGAUCAAAGUGACCUCAGCAGUCCAGAUACCAGCGAGGAUGAAAACAUAAUUUAGAUAGAAACUGCACAAAGGACUGCGUUUAAGGAAAUGGACUUGGCAUAUAUCUGUGUAGUGUUAGUAUGCUAACUACAUUAUUAUCUGUAUGCAUCCUAUAUUGUUGAAAUGUUCAACCUGUGUCUAGAUUAUCAAGCAUGUUAUUUAGGACGUUGAUGCUCCUUAAAUAUGCACAAACAUCUCAAUAUAGGUGUAACAAUCGUAUGAUAUUAUCAGAUGUAAUAAUUGAACUGAUGUUAUAUUUGGCUAGUGUAUUCAUAAUUUGUGUUUUUAAAGUUGCUAAUGGGCAUUGUUAGCCACAUCACAAACUCAAUGUUAAAACACUGCUUUUUGUGCUUUAUUGUGUUUAUGUACUUGCAUUGGUGCAGUAAUAUCGAUGUUAUGCAGUAAGGUCAUUGGUGUGUUUUACAAUGGCUUUGAACAGAGCUCAACCAAUCAGAAUAAUCAUUGAUAAUAAAGUAAAAGUUUUAUAACGGGUAAGUUGGUAUGAAAUAUUGUAAGCACAUUCAUCAGGAUGACUUUGCUGACCUUUUGACCUUUAUUACCACAUUUAGGCCAAACUGUGAAAACUCUACUUGAUUGAGUGUAUUAUAGGAUAUAACUGUUGUGCACCAUUGAAGAUAAACAUCAUAAAUUCUUUCUUAAAGAUGGAUAAUUUGUUGGCCAUGUGUCUGUCACUAUCAGUUCUGUUCUUAUAAGCACACUGUACAUUAAGCACUAUAGUAUGCAAAAGAAAAAUACACUACAUUUAUAUUUUAUGAUUAUACUUAUAUUGUGUAUUACUACAUUUGAUAGAUAACUUUAUUCCCCUGUUCUGCUGGUUGUUUUCAAGUGUACUUAACAGUUUAGUGUUAUUAAAUUCAGCCUUAUGGCUUGAUUGACAAAUUUGCAUUUCAUGUAUUUUCACUGCUUUUAUUGUGAAAGACAAAAAAUAAAGUGUUUCUAAACAUGAA